UUUCUACUUCAUUGCAUAGAACCCUUGAGAACAUAUUGAUGCUCUGAAAGAUAACCCCAGAAGAGUAUGAGGAGACAUACACGGUCUACACAGGUUGCCACCAUAUAUAAAGGAGUGCAGGAGUCCAUAAAACUUACUCCCUCUGCUCUUGAAGGUGAACAGCACAUUUUAGUAGCAAAAGAAAAUUGGUAUUGAAAGCAAAACAAGGAAAGAAAUCUCUCUGGGCCCCGCUUCUGUUUCUCAAAAGAAUGCUGAAAGUCACCUGUUCUCCAAAGGUACAUGCCACCAAAUCAAGGAAAAGCAAUAGAAGGCAGCCCCAAAAUGAAGAACCAGGUAUCCUUACAGGAAUAUAGUGAACCACAAAGGGCUAUGUGAAAAUGCAUUUGCUGCAAGCGGGAACAUCAGGGAAAUUUGGUGCCACCAGCCAAGUUAACGUAUCUUUCAAUCACCUGUGAUACUGCAGAAUAAUGGCAACUACGAUGGAAA
Molecule: small RNA, 486 nt
Filed under: Pongo abelii (Sumatran orangutan)
Lineage: Eukaryota; Metazoa; Chordata; Mammalia; Primates; Hominidae
Description: processed transcript
Source: RNAcentral